GAGGUGAUAAACCUACCGAGUUCAGUUAUAGCUGGUUGCCCGAGAACUGAGUAUAAGCUCAGCCUUUUGGCUUCUUAACUCCAUAACUAUUUAUAUUAACCCGACUUUAAGAAACCAAAAGAGUUAAUCAAAGGGGGUACAGCCCCUUUGAUACAAGAAACAACUUUUAACAGGAGGAUAAGGAUCAUAAAAAAUCAAGGCACCGCGCUUAAGUAGGCUUAGAAGCAGCCACCACAAGAAAGCGUUAAAGCUCUAGCACAUCCCUGCCACAAAUACCAAUAAAACACUCCUAACCCCUUCCCCUACCGGGCUUUUCUAUGCUUCCAUAGAAGAAAUUAUGCUAAAAUGAGUAAUAAGGGGCCGACCCCCUCCAAGCACAAGUGUACAUCAGAACGAACCCCCACCGAAAUUCAACGGACCCAACCAAAGAGGGAAAUAAAUAUUAAACUCACAACAAGAAAAACAUUUAACACUUUUCCGUUACCCCUACACUGGUGUGCCAAAUAGGAAAGACUAAAAGAAAAAGAAGGAACUCGGCAAACUCAAAGCCUCGCCUGUUUACCAAAAACAUCGCCUCUUGCUUCAGUGAAUAAGAGGUCACGCCUGCCCUGUGACUAUAUGUUUAACGGCCGCGGUAUUUUGACCGUGCAAAGGUAGCGCAAUCACUUGUCCUUUAAAUGUGGACCUGUAUGAAUGGCAUAACGAGGGCUUAGCUGUCUCCUUUCUCAAGUCAAUGAACUUGAUCUCCCCGUGCAGAAGCGGGGAUAAAACCAUAAGACGAGAAGACCCUAUGGAGCUUUAGACAAAAAACAGCCCCUGUCAAUAAACCCUAAAUAAAGGGAAUAAACCUAGUGAACCUGUUUUAAUGUCUUUGGUUGGGGCGACCGCGGGGUAACAAAAAACCCCCAUGUGGAAUGAAAACACCCUUUUUAAACCCAAGAGUCACCACUCUAGGAUACAGAACAUCUGACCAAUAAUGAUCCGGCUAAAGCCGAUUAACGAACCGAGUUACCCUAGGGAUAACAGCGCAAUCCUCUUUUAGAGUCCAUAUCGACAAGAGGGUUUACGACCUCGAUGUUG
This 1080-nucleotide ribosomal RNA is filed under the name Takifugu rubripes (torafugu). RNAcentral describes it as "partial 16S ribosomal RNA". It matches the Rfam family "Bacterial large subunit ribosomal RNA", at positions 818 to 2534 of the family's 2925-position model. Lineage: Eukaryota; Metazoa; Chordata; Actinopteri; Tetraodontiformes; Tetraodontidae. The record is from RNAcentral.